RNAcentral lists this ribosomal RNA (231 nucleotides) under uncultured bacterium. Its description in RNAcentral is "partial 16S ribosomal RNA". It matches the Rfam family "Bacterial small subunit ribosomal RNA", at positions 103 to 334 of the family's 1533-position model. The record is from RNAcentral.
CGGGUGAGUAAUGCUUGGGAAUAUGCCGAGUGGCGGGGGACAACAGUUGGAAACGACUGCUAAUACCGCAUAAUGUCUACGGACCAAAGGGGGGGGCUUCCUCGGAACCUCCCGCCAUUUGAUUAGCCCAAGUGAGAUUAGCUAGUUGGUGAGGUAAUGGCUCACCAAGGCGACGAUCUCUAGCUGGUUUGAGAGGAUGAUCAGCCACACUGGGACUGAGACACGGCCCAG